This 791-nucleotide ribosomal RNA is filed under the name uncultured archaeon. RNAcentral describes it as "bacterial SSU rRNA". It matches the Rfam family "Archaeal small subunit ribosomal RNA", at positions 84 to 878 of the family's 1478-position model. The record is from RNAcentral.
UACGGCUCAGUAACACGUCGAUAAUUUGCCCUAAGGUCUUGGAUAGCGUUGGGAAACUGACGGUAAGACAAGAUAGAAGAUUGGUACUGGAAUGUUCUUUCUUCGAAAAGCAAUGCCUUAGGAUAAGUCGGCGGCUGAUUAGGUAGUUGGUGAGGUAAUGGCUCACCAAGCCUUGGAUCAGUAGGGGGGAUGAGAGUCCUUACCCCGAGAAGGGCACUGAGAUACUGGCCCUAGCCCUAAGGGGUGCAGCAGGCGCGAAAACUUUACAAUGCGCGCAAGCGUGAUAAGGGGAUUCCAAGUGCUUGGCCUUUGAGUCAAGCUUUUGUCGAGUGUAAGAAGCUCGGCGAAUAAGUGGUGGGUAAGACGGGUGCCAGCCGCCGCGGUAACACCUGCGCCACGAGUGGGAGCCACUAUUAUUGGGUCUAAAGCGUUCGUAGCCGGACUGAAAAGUCUCUUGUGAAAUUGUUGCGCUCAACGUAACAGCGCGCAAGGGAAACUAUUAGUCUAGAGACUGGGAAGAGCUUGGAGUAUUCCAGGGGGAGCGGUAAAAUGUUAUAAUCCUUGGAAGACUACCUGUGGCGAAGGCGCCAAGCUAGAACAGGUCUGACGGUGAGGGACGAAGGCUAGGGGAGCAAAACGGAUUAGAUACCCGAGUAGUCCUAGCAGUAAACUCUGUGAACUAUGUGUUGCAUAAUCCUCGUGAUUGUGCAGUGCCUAAGCGAAGGCGUUAAGUUCACCACCUGGGAAGUAUGGCCGCAAGACUGAAACUUAAAGGAAUGUGCGCGGGGGAG